RNAcentral lists this ribosomal RNA (480 nucleotides) under Astrochele pacifica. Its description in RNAcentral is "partial 16S ribosomal RNA". It matches the Rfam family "Bacterial large subunit ribosomal RNA", at positions 1856 to 2597 of the family's 2925-position model. Lineage: Eukaryota; Metazoa; Echinodermata; Ophiuroidea; Euryalida; Gorgonocephalidae. The record is from RNAcentral.
UGCCUGCCCGGUGAUUAGAUAAAAUUAAACGGCUGCGGUACUCUGACCGUGCAAAGGUAGCAUAAUCAUUAGCCUGUUAAUUUCAGGCUGGAAUCAAUGGCAAGACGAAGAAAGGGCUGUCUCUUUCUAUUAUUUUAGAAUUUUUCUUUUUGGUGAAGAGACCAAAAUGAAUAAGUGGGACGAGAAGACCCUAUUGAGCUUUAGUUAGUUAAUAGAAAAAAUUUUUUUUAAUCAACUUUGGUUGGGGCAACUGUUUAUAAAAUUAAAUAUAAAUAAAAACAAAAAUGAAUUAAAUCUUUAGUAUAAUAUAAAACCCAGAAUUUUUUUUUCUGCAUUUAAAAAAAGUUACCUUAGGGAUAACAGCGUAAUUCUUUUUGAGAGUACAUAUUGACAAAAGAGUUUGCGACCUCGAUGUUGGAUCAAGAUUUCCUGGAGGUGUAGUGGUUUCCAAGGGUUGGUUUGUUCAACCAUAAAAAUCUU